RNAcentral lists this ribosomal RNA (434 nucleotides) under uncultured Ruminococcus sp. RNAcentral describes it as "bacterial SSU rRNA". It matches the Rfam family "Bacterial small subunit ribosomal RNA", at positions 341 to 792 of the family's 1533-position model. Lineage: Bacteria; Bacillati; Bacillota; Clostridia; Eubacteriales; Oscillospiraceae. The record is from RNAcentral.
ACGGAAGGCAGCAGUGGGGAAUAUUGCGCAAUGGGGGAAACCCUGAUGCAGCGAUGCCGCGUGGAGGAAGAAGGUCUUCGGAUUGUAAACUCCUGUCUUAAAGGACGAUAAUGACGGUACCUUAGGAGGAAGCUCCGGCUAACUACGUGCCAGCAGCCGCGGUAAUACGUAGGGAGCGAGCGUUAUCCGGAAUUACUGGGUGUAAAGGGAGCGUAGGCGGGACUGCAAGUCAGAUGUGAAAUGCCGGGGCUUAACCCCGGAGCUGCAUUUGAAACUGUGGUUCUUGAGUGAAGGAGAGGCAAGCGGAAUUCCCGGUGUAGCGGUGAAAUGCGUAGAUAUCAGGAGGAACACCAGUGGCGAAGGCGGCUUGCUGGGCUUUUACUGACGCUGAGGCUCGAAAGCGUGGGUAGCAAACAGGAUUAGAUACCCUGGUA